Molecule: ribosomal RNA, 465 nt
Filed under: Vreelandella stevensii
Lineage: Bacteria; Pseudomonadati; Pseudomonadota; Gammaproteobacteria; Oceanospirillales; Halomonadaceae
Description: partial 16S ribosomal RNA
Rfam family: Bacterial small subunit ribosomal RNA
Source: RNAcentral
CCUACGGGGGGCUGCAGUGGGGAAUAUUGGACAAUGGGGGGAACCCUGAUCCAGCCAUGCCGCGUGUGUGAAGAAGGCCCUCGGGUUGUAAAGCACUUUCAGUGAGGAAGAACGCCUGGUGGUUAAUACCCAUCAGGAAAGACAUCACUCACAGAAGAAGCACCGGCUAACUCCGUGCCAGCAGCCGCGGUAAUACGGAGGGUGCGAGCGUUAAUCGGAAUUACUGGGCGUAAAGCGCGCGUAGGUGGCUUGAUAAGCCGGUUGUGAAAGCCCCGGGCUCAACCUGGGAACGGCAUCCGGAACUGUCAAGCUAGAGUGCAGGAGAGGAAGGUAGAAUUCCCGGUGUAGCGGUGAAAUGCGUAGAGAUCGGGAGGAAUACCAGUGGCGAUGGCGGCCUUCUGGACUGACACUGACACUGAGGUGCGAAAGCGUGGGUAGCAAACAGGAUUAGAUACCCGAGUAGUC